Molecule: long non-coding RNA, 1995 nt
Organism: Vitis vinifera (wine grape)
Lineage: Eukaryota; Viridiplantae; Streptophyta; Magnoliopsida; Vitales; Vitaceae
Exons: 2
Source: RefSeq, a predicted model, not a curated record
AUGAACGUAGUCCCAGUCCGAUCGGCAUUUGUCACUUGUCCAGGGCUCUGCGUUUCAGCACUCAAUCGUCCCCUUCUCCAAACGCUGCGUCUCACGCCGCGUAUCGGUCGAUCUCUCGGUUCAAGGAGGCUGCUUACUGCGUAUUAUUGGUAAGGCUACCAAAUUCCACUACUAAUUUUCCAUGAAGUAAUAUUAUAAAGAGUUGAUAUGAAAAUUCUUGGAAUUCUUUCAUUCAAAGGAUGUUCAGUGAUCUCUAAAUUAAAUUUGCUUUGUUUGACCGUACAAAUUAAUUUGAAUGUGAAUUCAAUUUUUAAAUUUGUAAAUUCAAAUUCUGCUUCAAAAUUGAUUUUAUAUAUUGACUAGGAUGAACUUAAUUUAAGUGUAAUUCAACUCCACUAACAUCUAAAGAAGUCAAAAUAAUUGAAUUGAAAUUGGGGUCUUAUUAUCCAAGGCCCCAGUCCUAUGCAUUCAACAACAUAUUAUUUUUUUCUGCCACUCAAUCCACUAGUAAUUGCAUCAAAUUGCUCCCCAAGCAACAAUACGCUAUAAAAGCUUGGUGAAAAAUCUGUUUUAGGUGAAUUAAGUGAUUGUUAAAGUAGUUGCUUCACUUGGCUCUCUAACAACACUACCACUUUUUUUACUUGGUACGAAGGUAGAAUGUAUUUUUCCUACCACUUGUAUAUGAUGGAUUUAACUUUAUUUGUGAUAUCUUAUUUCUUUUUUUAAAAUAUUCAUUGCUUUGACAAUUGAUUUGUGUUUAGUCAUAGGAAGAACUCUACUUAGGAUAUUGUGCCUAUUUGCCUAUUUGGUUUACAAGUUCCAUAAGAGACAUCUAUAAUCAUAUGAUAGCAUUGAAGAAUUCCUACGGAGUCACAAAAAUCUUCAACCUAUCAAGUACUCAUAUUCAGAUAUAAAGAAGAUGACUUAUAACUUUGCGAAUAAAUUAGGUCAAGGAGGCUUUGACUCUAUAUAUAAAAGAAAACUUCGAAGUGGUCGCAUUGUAGCUGUAAAAGUGUUGAUGAUGUCAAAAGCUAAUGGACAAGAUUUCAUCAAUGAAGUUGCUACAAUAGGAAGGAUUCAUCAUGUUAAUAUGGUGAGACUUGUUGGAUUUUGUGUACAAGGAUCAAAAUGGGCACUUAUAUAUGAUUACAUGCCCAAUGGCUCUCUUGAUAAGUUUAUUUUUCUUAAAGAAGAAAAUAACACUCUUUUGAGCUUGGAAAGGUUGUAUAAGAUUGCACUUGGAGUGGGGCGUGGGAUUAAAUACUUACAUCAAGAUUGUGAUAUGCAAAUUCUACAUUUUGAUAUCAAGCCACACAAUAUUCUUCUUAAUGAAAACUUUACACCAAAAGUUUCAGAUUUUGGUUUUGCCAAAUUGUAUUCGACAAAUGAAAGUAUAGUAUCUCUCACUGCUGCACGAGGAACAUUGGGAUAUAUUGCUCCAGAAUUGUUCUAUAAAAACAUUGGAGGUGUCUCAUACAAAUUAAGAUGAUAUUUAUAGUUUUGGAAUGUUAUUGUUGGAAAUGGUAGGAAGAAAAAAGAAUGUGAAUGCAAAUGCAGAGCACUCGAGUCAAAUAUAUUUUCCAUCAUGGAUUUACGACAAAUAUGAUCAAGGAGAGAAUAUAGACUUGGAAGAUGCUACUGAAGAUGAAAAUAAGUUUGUAAAGAAAAUGGUUAUAGUUGCACUAUGGUGUAUAUAGAUGAAGUCGAUAGACUCCCCUUCAAUGAGCAAAGCCUUGGAGAUGUUGGAAGGAAAGGUUGAGUUGUUAGAAAUGCCUCCUAAGCCUACUCUAUAUUAUGAAGAAAUCUAAAUUGAGGAUCAUAUCAACAAUCCAAUAGGAGCAUCAAUUUCCUUGCACAAUUCCAUGGAUAUGUAGCAUUUUACCUACUUGCAUUCUCUCUUGUGAUAUCAUAUGUUUGUAAUUUGGCAUAGAUGUAUGCAUGGGCUGUAACUCCUCCUGCAAGGUCCAAUAUAUAAUGUAGUAUUGUCUUGAGGCA